This 350-nucleotide unclassified non-coding RNA is filed under the name plant metagenome. RNAcentral describes it as "partial contains 5.8S ribosomal RNA, internal transcribed spacer 2, and large subunit ribosomal RNA". The stretch from base 1 to 105 matches the Rfam family "5.8S ribosomal RNA", at positions 50 to 154 of the family's 154-position model. The record is from RNAcentral.
GAAAUGCGAUAAGUAAUGUGAAUUGCAGAAUUCAGUGAAUCAUCGAAUCUUUGAACGCACCUUGCGCUCCUUGGUAUUCCGAGGAGCAUGCCUGUUUGAGUGUCAUGGAAUUCUCAACUCUAUUUGCUUUUGUGAAUAGAGCUUGGAUUUGGAGGUUUAUUGCUGGUACUUGUGAUCGGCUCCUCUUGAAUGCAUUAGCUCGAACCUUUGCGGAUCAGCUAUCGGUGUGAUAAUUGUCUACGCCGUUGCAGUGAAGCAUAUCAAUGGGCUCGGCUUCCAAUCGUCCUUUACUGGACAAUGACUUUGACCUUUGACCUCAAAUCAGGUAGGAUUACCCGCUGAACUUACGC